RNAcentral lists this transfer RNA (69 nucleotides) under Marmota monax (woodchuck). RNAcentral describes it as "tRNA.Ala". Lineage: Eukaryota; Metazoa; Chordata; Mammalia; Rodentia; Sciuridae. The record is from RNAcentral.
GGGGUUGUGGCUCAGUGGUAGAGUGCUUGCCUAGCAUGUGAGGCCCUGGGUUCAAUCCUCAGCACCACA